RNAcentral lists this ribosomal RNA (514 nucleotides) under uncultured Pseudomonadota bacterium. RNAcentral's name for it is "bacterial SSU rRNA". It matches the Rfam family "Bacterial small subunit ribosomal RNA", at positions 392 to 896 of the family's 1533-position model. Lineage: Bacteria; Pseudomonadati; Pseudomonadota. The record is from RNAcentral.
CAACGCCGCGUGUGUGAUGAAGGUCUUCGGAUCGUAAAGCACUGUCGCGAGGGACGAAUAAGCCUGCCGCUAACAUCGGCGGGUGAUGACGGUACCUCGAAAGGAAGCACCGGCUAACUCUGUGCCAGCAGCCGCGGUAAUACAGAGGGUGCUAGCGUUGUUCGGAAUUAUUGGGCGUAAAGCGCGUGUAGGCGGCUCCGCAAGUUGGGUGUGAAAGCCCUCGGCUUAACCGAGGAAGUGCGCCCAAAACUACGAAGCUUGAGUGCCGGAGAGGGUGGCGGAAUUCCCGGUGUAGAGGUGAAAUUCGUAGAUAUCGGGAGGAACACCAGUGGCGAAGGCGGCCACCUGGACGGUUACUGACGCUGAGACGCGAAAGCGUGGGGAGCAAACAGGAUUAGAUACCCUGGUAGUCCACGCCGUAAACGAUGAGCGCUAGGUGUUGUGGGCGUUGACCCCCGCAGUGCCGAAGCUAACGCAUUAAGCGCUCCGCCUGGGAAGUACGGCCGCAAGGCUA